GACGAACGCUGGCGGCGUGCCUAAUACAUGCAAGUAGAACGCUGAAGGAGGAGCUUGCUUCUCUGGAUGAGUUGCGAACGGGUGAGUAACGCGUAGGUAACCUGCCUGGUAGCGGGGGAUAACUAUUGGAAACGAUAGCUAAUACCGCAUAAGAGUAGAUGUUGCAUGACAUUUGCUUGAAAGGUGCAAUUGCAUCACUACCAGAUGGACCUGCGUUGUAUUAGCUAGUUGGUGGGGUAAGGGCUCACCAAGGCGACGAUACAUAGCCGACCUGAGAGGGUGAUCGGCCACACUGGGACUGAGACACGGCUCCAGACUCCUACGGGAGGCAGCAGUAGGGAAUCUUCGGCAAUGGACGGAAGUCUGACCGAGCAACGCCGCGUGAGUGAAGAAGGUUUUCGGAUCGUAAAGCUCUGUUGUAAGAGAAGAACGAGUGUGAGAGUGGAAAGUUCAC
RNAcentral lists this ribosomal RNA (454 nucleotides) under Streptococcus mitis. RNAcentral's name for it is "bacterial SSU rRNA". It matches the Rfam family "Bacterial small subunit ribosomal RNA", at positions 28 to 467 of the family's 1533-position model. Lineage: Bacteria; Bacillati; Bacillota; Bacilli; Lactobacillales; Streptococcaceae. The record is from RNAcentral.